GAUGAACGCUAGCGGCAGGCUUAACACAUGCAAGUCGAGGGGUAACAUUGUAGCUUGCUACAGAUGACGACCGGCGAACGGGUGCGUAACGCGUAUAGAAUCUGCCUUGUACAGGAGGAUAACCUUUAGAAAUGAAGACUAACACUCCAUAAUGUUGCGACUUGGCAUCAAGAUGUAAUUAAAUAUUUAUAGGUACAAGAUGACUAUGCGUUCUAUUAGCUAGAUGGUAAGGUAACGGCUUACCAUGGCGACGAUAGAUAGGGGGUCUGAGAGGACUAUCCCCCACACUGGUACUGAGACACGGACCAGACUCCUACGGGAGGCAGCAGUGAGGAAUAUUGGACAAUGGAGGCAACUCUGAUCCAGCCAUGCCGCGUGCAGGAAGACUGCCCUAUGGGUUGUAAACUGCUUUUAUACAGGAAGAAACCGAUCUACGAGUAGAUCCUUGACGGUACUGUAAGAAUAAGGACCGGCUAACUCCG
This 482-nucleotide ribosomal RNA is filed under the name uncultured Tenacibaculum sp. Its description in RNAcentral is "bacterial SSU rRNA". It matches the Rfam family "Bacterial small subunit ribosomal RNA", at positions 28 to 505 of the family's 1533-position model. The record is from RNAcentral. Lineage: Bacteria; Pseudomonadati; Bacteroidota; Flavobacteriia; Flavobacteriales; Flavobacteriaceae.